ACUAUAGAAAGAAUUUCACUGAUCAUUUGUUGGGUUUAUCUUUAUUGUUCCUAGACUAAAAAAAAACAAACGACGGCAUUCAAUUCACCAAAUGCUCAGCUCUGUGAAAAUCUAUACACACAUGUCGGAGUUUUCACGGCUCCAUAAAGUUCAUCAAACGUUAAAAUGAUUUGUGGAAAAAAGGCAUGCGCAAAUUUCUAAGAAAUCUAAGCUCCUGAGUGAAAAAGAAGAUGUCUGGAUGAGCCGGGAGUUUGACACCAAUGACAUUUUUCCUGCCAGCCUCUUGCAGGAAAUUUAUAUCGAUCUCUGAGUGGAGAAUUCAGGAUGUUGAUUCCACGGAGUAGAAGAACUUAUUGAAUGGCUACAGGCCUCGUAGAAGAUUGAGCAUGGGCCAGACGCAUGAUGGGUAAUAAACUCUGUGCCCCAUUACUGAGUAAGAAACCUUACAGAGAGGACCAGUAUCCAUGGCAACACAGCAAGGACUCUCAUCUCCUGAGAUUGUGGGCGGAGAUAUUCCGUGUUCAUGGUGACGGUGACUAUAUGAGAUGGGAGCGUGUUUCAUUGGACGUCGUACCUGUCAAUAUCUCCUGUAUCGAGGACACGCCCACUACAGUAUUCCAGAUCACCGCGUACAACAAACACGUUGAAAAAAUAUUUGACGUCAAAAUUACACAACCAGGUAACAGUUACCUCCCUUUUGUAAAAAUUAACAGUUACCUCCCUUUUGUAAAAAUUAAC
Long non-coding RNA from Saccostrea cuccullata (small rock oyster), 738 nucleotides. RefSeq lists it as uncharacterized. Lineage: Eukaryota; Metazoa; Mollusca; Bivalvia; Ostreida; Ostreidae. The transcript is spliced from 3 exons. The record is from RefSeq and is a predicted model, not a curated record.